This 247-nucleotide ribosomal RNA is filed under the name uncultured bacterium. Its description in RNAcentral is "partial 16S ribosomal RNA". It matches the Rfam family "Bacterial small subunit ribosomal RNA", at positions 114 to 354 of the family's 1533-position model. The record is from RNAcentral.
AACGUAGGGAACCUGCCCAUGCGGCCGGGACAACUUCCGGAAACGGAUGCUGAUACCGGAUAAGGAAAGCGGAGGCAUCUUUGCUUUGUUAAAGGAGCUGCAAGGCUCCGCGCAUGGAUGGACCUGCGGUGCAUUAGCUGGUUGGUGAGGUAAAGGCUCACCAAGGCGACGAUGCAUAGCCGGCCUGAGAGGGCGAACGGCCACACUGGGACUGAGACACGGCCCAGACUCCUACGGGAGGCAGCAG